RNAcentral lists this ribosomal RNA (500 nucleotides) under uncultured bacterium. RNAcentral describes it as "partial 16S ribosomal RNA". It matches the Rfam family "Bacterial small subunit ribosomal RNA", at positions 30 to 523 of the family's 1533-position model. The record is from RNAcentral.
AUUGAACGCUGGCGGCAUGCCUUACACAUGCAAGUCGAACGGCAGCACGGGAGCAAUCCUGGUGGCGAGUGGCGAACGGGUGAGUAAAGUAUCGGAACGUGCCCAGUCGUGGGGGAUAACGUAGCGAAAGUUACGCUAAUACCGCAUACGAUCUAUGGAUGAAAGCGGGGGAUCGCAAGACCUCGCGCGAUUGGAGCGGCCGAUAUCAGAUUAGGUAGUUGGUGGGGUAAAGGCUCACCAAGCCGACGAUCUGUAGCUGGUCUGAGAGGACGACCAGCCACACUGGGACUGAGACACGGCCCAGACUCCUACGGGAGGCAGCAGUGGGGAAUUUUGGACAAUGGGCGCAAGCCUGAUCCAGCCAUGCCGCGUGCAGGAUGAAGGCCUUCGGGUUGUAAACUGCUUUUGUACGGAACGAAAAGGUUUGACUUAAUACGUUGGACUCAUGACGGUACCGUAAGAAUAAGCACCGGCUAACUACGUACCAGCAGCCGCAGUAA